Molecule: ribosomal RNA, 520 nt
Filed under: uncultured bacterium
Lineage: Bacteria
Description: partial 16S ribosomal RNA
Rfam family: Bacterial small subunit ribosomal RNA
Source: RNAcentral
GACGAACGCUGGCGGCGUGCUUAACACAUGCAAGUCGAACGGAGAUUUUUAUUUCGGUAAAGAUCUUAGUGGCAAACGGGUGAGUAACGCGUAGGCAACCUGCCUUUCCGAUGGGGACAACAGUUCGAAAGGACUGCUAAUACCGAAUGAUGUAUAUCUUCCGCAUGGAGGACAUACCAAAGACGGCCUCUAUAUAUAAGCUGUCACGGAAAGAUGGGCCUGCGUCUGAUUAGCCAGUUGGCGGGGUAAUGGCCCACCAAAGCGACGAUCAGUAGCCGGUCUGAGAGGAUGAACGGCCACAUUGGGACUGAGACACGGCCCAAACUCCUACGGGAGGCAGCAGUGGGGAAUCUUCCGCAAUGGACGAAAGUCUGACGGAGCAACGCCGCGUGAGUGAAGAAGGUUUUCGAAUCGUAAAGCUCUGUUGUCAGGGACGAGCAGGGGGAGUAUCAACAACACUUCCUCAUGACGGUACCUGACGAGGAAGCCACGGCUAACUACGUGCCAGCAGCCGCGGUAA